AAAUUGAAGAGUUUGAUCAUGGCUCAGAUUGAACGCUGGCGGCAGGCCUAACACAUGCAAGUCGAGCGGUAGCACAGAGAGCUUGCUCUCGGGUGACGAGCGGCGGACGGGUGAGUAAUGUCUGGGAAACUGCCUGAUGGAGGGGGAUAACUACUGGAAACGGUAGCUAAUACCGCAUAAUGUCGCAAGACCAAAGUGGGGGACCUUCGGGCCUCAUGCCAUCAGAUGUGCCCAGAUGGGAUUAGCUAGUAGGUGGGGUAACGGCUCACCUAGGCGACGAUCCCUAGCUGGUCUGAGAGGAUGACCAGCCACACUGGAACUGAGACACGGUCCAGACUCCUACGGGAGGCAGCAGUGGGGAAUAUUGCACAAUGGGCGCAAGCCUGAUGCAGCCAUGCCGCGUGUGUGAAGAAGGCCUUCGGGUUGUAAAGCACUUUCAGCGGGGAGGAAGGCGGUGAGGUUAAUAACCUCA
Molecule: ribosomal RNA, 472 nt
Filed under: Klebsiella pneumoniae
Lineage: Bacteria; Pseudomonadati; Pseudomonadota; Gammaproteobacteria; Enterobacterales; Enterobacteriaceae
Also listed under: 1 other name
Description: bacterial SSU rRNA
Rfam family: Bacterial small subunit ribosomal RNA
Source: RNAcentral